Molecule: ribosomal RNA, 496 nt
Filed under: uncultured bacterium
Lineage: Bacteria
Description: partial 16S ribosomal RNA
Rfam family: Bacterial small subunit ribosomal RNA
Source: RNAcentral
GACGAACGCUGGCGGCGUGCCUAAUACAUGCAAGUAGAACGCUGAAGCUUGGUGCUUGCACCGAGCGGAUGAGUUGCGAACGGGUGAGUAACGCGUAGGUAACCUGCCUGGUAGCGGGGGAUAACUAUUGGAAACGAUAGCUAAUACCGCAUAACAGUAGAUAUCGCAUGAUAGCUACUUGAAAGGUGCAAAUGCACCACUACCAGAUGGACCUGCGUUGUAUUAGCUAGUUGGUGAGGUAACGGCUCACCAAGGCAACGAUACAUAGCCGACCUGAGAGGGUGAUCGGCCACACUGGGACUGAGACACGGCCCAGACUCCUACGGGAGGCAGCAGUAGGGAAUCUUCGGCAAUGGACGGAAGUCUGACCGAGCAACGCCGCGUGAGUGAAGAAGGUUUUCGGAUCGUAAAGCUCUGUUGUAAGAGAAGAACGAGUGUGAGAGUGGAAAGUUCACACUGUGACGGUAUCUUACCAGAAAGGGACGGCUAACUACGU